Long non-coding RNA from Carassius auratus (goldfish), 103 nucleotides. RefSeq lists it as uncharacterized. The record is from RefSeq and is a predicted model, not a curated record. Lineage: Eukaryota; Metazoa; Chordata; Actinopteri; Cypriniformes; Cyprinidae. The transcript is spliced from 4 exons.
AAGCCAAGAUCUCUGCACAACUACAGCAAAUGUCAAAGGGCUUUAAAGAUGAAUUAUUGAAUCUCACUGAACGACUGAAGAAAAUGGAUGCACAGAAUAUCCC